This 1778-nucleotide ribosomal RNA is filed under the name Spirogyra sp. UMW4A. Its description in RNAcentral is "SSU rRNA". It matches the Rfam family "Eukaryotic small subunit ribosomal RNA". Lineage: Eukaryota; Viridiplantae; Streptophyta; Zygnematophyceae; Spirogyrales; Spirogyraceae. The record is from RNAcentral.
UUCGACAAUUCUGGUUGAUCCUGCCAGUAGUCAUAUGCUUGUCUCAAAGAUUAAGCCAUGCAUGUCCAAGUAUAAAUUACUCAACGGUAAAACUGCGAAUGGCUCAUUAAAUCAGUUAUAGUUUAUUUGAUGAUUCUUACUACUCGGAUAACCGUAGUAAUUAUAGAGCUAAUACGUGCGUAAAAUCCCGACUCACGAAGGGAUGUAUGUAUUAGAUUAAAGACCAACUCGGGCUCGCCCGUUUUUCUGGUGAAUCAUAAUGCAUCUCGGAUCGCAAGGCCUCGUGCCUGCGACAGAUCAAUCAAAUAUCUGCCCUAUCAACUUUCGAUGGUAGGAUAGUGGCCUACCAUGGUUGUAACGGGUAACGGAGAAUUAGGGUUCGAUUCCGGAGAGGGAGCCUGAGAAACGGCUACCACAUCCAAGGAUGGCAGCAGGCGCGCAAAUUACCCAAUCCUGACUCAGGGAGGUAGUGACAAUAAAUAACAAUACCGGUCUCUAUGAGAUUGGUAAUUGGAAUGAGCGGAAUCUAAAUCCUUUAACGAGGAUCUAUUGGAGGGCAAGUCUGGUGCCAGCAGCCGCGGUAAUUCCAGCUCCAAUAGCGUAUAUUUAAAUUGUUGCAGUUAAAAAGCUCGUAGUUGGAUCUCGGAGAGGAGUUGUCGGUCGUCCCAAGUGGAUGCUAUCGUCUCUCCUCCCUCUCUGCCGAGAGCUCGUCCUGGCCUUAAUUGGCUGGGCGAAGGUCACGGCGAUGUUACUUUGAAUAAAUUAUAGUGUUCAAAGCAGGCUCUCGCUCUGCAUACACUAGCAUGGAAUAACAGUAUAGGACUUCGGUCCCAUUCUGUUGGUCUCCUUGACCGGAGUAAUGAUUAAUAGGGAUUGUCGGGGGCAUUCGUAUUUCAUUGUUAGAGGUGAAAUUCUUGGAUCAAUGAAAGACGAACUUCUGCGAAAGCAUUUGCCAAGGAUGUUUUCAUUAAUCAAGAACGAAAGUUGGGGGCGCGAAGACGAUUAGAUACCGUCCUAGUCCCAACCGUAAACGUUGCCGACCCCGAAUUGGCGAAACAUCUGACUUGACGUCGCCAGAGCCCGAAGAGAAAUCAGAGUCUUUGGGUUCCGGGGGGAGUAUGGUCGCAAGUCUGAAACUUAAAGGAAUUGACGGAAGGGCACCACCAGGUGUGGAGCGUGCGGCUUAAUUUGACUCAACGCGGGGAAUCUUACCAGGUCCAGACAUAUCAACGAUUGACAGACUGAUAGCUCUUUCUUGAUCAUAUGGGUAGUGGUGCAUGGCCGUUCUUAGUUGGUGGAGUGAUUUGUCUGGUUAAUUCCGUUAACGAACGAGACCUCAGCCUGCUAACUAGUUACGCGGAGCCCUGUCUUCGCGGACAACUUCUUAGAGGGACUAUGAGCGCAUAGCUCAUGGAAGUUUGAGGCAAUAACAGGUCUGUGAUGCCCUUAGAUGUUCUGGGCCGCACGCGCGCUACAAUGAUGCAUCCAUCGAGUAUCUUAACCCUGUCGGAAACGACUGGGUAAUCUUAGAGAAUGCAUCGUGAUGGGGAUAGCCCCUUGCAAUUGUUGGUCUUCAACGAGGAAUACCUAGUAAGCGCGCGUCAUCAGCGCGCGCUGACUACGUCCCUGCCCUUUGUACACACCGCCCGUCGCUCCUACCGAUAGAAUGAUCCGGUGAAGCAUUCGGAUCGCACCGCGGCUGGAGGGUAACCUCCGGGUGCGGCGUGAGAAGUUUGUUGAACCUUAUCAUUUAGAGGAAGGAGAAGUCGUAACAAGGU